GUCCUGCUAAGGCACUUGUAAACCUGCAAGUAGCAACAUUUUAAGAAAAUUAUAUGAGACAGCAGAUGACAAAGCAUAGAAAACCGGUCAUAUAUCAAUCACUUUAAGCUGGCAAAUUUCAGCACUCACAUUGAAUAACAAACCAGGAGUCACAGCAACCACCGUCAACAUAUAAUUAUAUCUAAAAUAACAAACCGGACAAGCAAUGUCCACAAUUUACAGACAACUUUAGCUGGUGAGGGUGACCAACAAGAAGGUAUAGACUAACAUUGAAUAGAAAGUAAAAAUUUAAAAUAUUAUCAGAGAUCUCCAAUCUUAAAAAGGUAAGUUGAUGAGGUGAGAAAUAGAAAUCUGAAUAAUAAAUGACAAAUAACAAACCCCCAUAGAACACACAUUUUACCAGAAAAUGUUUUUUGACACAUAAAGUUU
RNAcentral lists this unclassified non-coding RNA (429 nucleotides) under Hevea brasiliensis (rubber tree). The record is from RNAcentral. Lineage: Eukaryota; Viridiplantae; Streptophyta; Magnoliopsida; Malpighiales; Euphorbiaceae.